AUUUGUCAGGGAUUUAAAAAUGUAACCAAGGAUGAGGAUGCUGUUGAGUACAUGAAGAAAUUUGCUGAUGAACUUCAGAAUAUUCAGGGAAGAGAAGUGGAUAGGAUAGAGAGACAAAUGAAAGCAGAGUUUGAGGGAAAGUACCACAUAAAAUUAAGACAUGUUGACCUGGAGCCAUUAUAAUGUAUACUAAAGAUUAGUAAAUCAAAAACUGCCAGUGAUGCAAGUGUCUAGUCUGACAAUAAUACAAGGAUUUUAAAAGGAAAAUGUAACCCAAAGGAUUCAUCAGAAUGACUUUUUAUGUGAUAAUUUGCAUACAAGUAUUAUUUUUUAAAUGUGUGAUUUUUUCCGUGGAAUGUGAGGGAUUGCAGAAUUCCAUGUGACUGUAUAAAGGACUAAUGUGUGUAUAAAUGACUAAUGUAUAAAGGACUGUGCAAUUAUAAAUAUGAAGUUUUC
Molecule: long non-coding RNA, 456 nt
Organism: Saccostrea cuccullata (small rock oyster)
Lineage: Eukaryota; Metazoa; Mollusca; Bivalvia; Ostreida; Ostreidae
Exons: 2
Source: RefSeq, a predicted model, not a curated record